UGAACGCUGGCGGAAUGCUUUACACAUGCAAGUCGAACGGUAGAGGGGGCAACCCCUUGAGAGUGGCGAACGGGUGAGUAAUAUAUCGGAACGUGCCCAGUCGUGGGGGAUAACGUAGUGAAAAUUACGCUAAUACCGCAUACGAUCUAAGGAUGAAAGCGGGGGAUCGCAAGACCUCGCGCGACUGGAGCGGCCGAUAUCAGAUUAGGUAGUUGGUAGGGUAAAGGCCUACCAAGCCAACGAUCUGUAGCUGGUCUGAGAGGACGACCAGCCACACUGGAACUGAGACACGGUCCAGACUCCUACGGGAGGCAGCAGUGGGGAAUUUUGGACAAUGGGCGAAAGCCUGAUCCAGCCAUUCCGCGUGCAGGAUGAAGGCCCUCGGGUUGUAAACUGCUUUUGUACAGAACGAAAAGGUUUCUAUUAAUACUAGGAGCUCAUGACGGUACUGUAAGAAUAAGCACCGGCUAACUACGUGCCAGCAGCCGCGGUAAU
This 495-nucleotide ribosomal RNA is filed under the name uncultured Comamonadaceae bacterium. Its description in RNAcentral is "bacterial SSU rRNA". It matches the Rfam family "Bacterial small subunit ribosomal RNA", at positions 30 to 524 of the family's 1533-position model. The record is from RNAcentral. Lineage: Bacteria; Pseudomonadati; Pseudomonadota; Betaproteobacteria; Burkholderiales; Comamonadaceae.